AUUGAACGCUGGCGGCAUGCUUUACACAUGCAAGUCGAACGGCAGCGCGGGGGCAACCCUGGCGGCGAGUGGCGAACGGGUGAGUAAUGCAUCGGAACGUAUCCUGUAAUGGGGGAUAACGUAGCGAAAGUUACGCUAAUACCGCAUACGCUCGAGAGAGGAAAGUGGGGGAUCGCAAAGACCUCACGUUAUAGGAGCGGCCGAUGUCCGAUUAGCUAGUUGGUGGGGUAAAGGCCUACCGAGGCGACGAUCGGUAGCUGGUCUGAGAGGAUGAUCAGCCACACUGGGACUGAGACACGGCCCAGACUCCUACGGGAGGCAGCAGUGGGGAAUUUUGGACAAUGGGCGAAAGCCUGAUCCAGCCAUGCCGCGUGCGGGAAGAAGGCCUUCGGGUUGUAAACC
Molecule: ribosomal RNA, 402 nt
Filed under: uncultured bacterium
Lineage: Bacteria
Description: bacterial SSU rRNA
Rfam family: Bacterial small subunit ribosomal RNA
Source: RNAcentral